AACGAACGUUGGCGGCGUGCCUAACACAUGCAAGUCGAGCGCGGGCAGGACUUCGGUCCUGUUCCGAGCGGCGCACGGGUGAGUAACACGUGAGUAACCUGCCUCGAAGUUUGGGAUAACCGCCCGAAAGGGUGGCUAAUACCGGAUAAGCCCCCCACUGGCACAGGCCAGAGAGGGAAAAGCCUUGGCGCUUCGAGAUGGGCUCGCGUCCCAUUAGCUAGUUGGUGAGGUAACGGCUCACCAAGGCGAAGAUGGGUAGCUGGUCUGAGAGGAUGAUCAGCCACACUGGAACUGAGACACGGUCCAGACGUACCUACGGGAGGCAGCAGUGGGGAAUAUUGCGC
RNAcentral lists this ribosomal RNA (344 nucleotides) under uncultured bacterium. Its description in RNAcentral is "bacterial SSU rRNA". It matches the Rfam family "Bacterial small subunit ribosomal RNA", at positions 29 to 369 of the family's 1533-position model. The record is from RNAcentral.